AACGAACGCUGGCGGCAGGCUUAAUACAUGCAAGUCGAACGGGCGCAGCAAUGCGUCAGUGGCAGACGGGUGAGUAACACGUGGGAACCUUCCUCGUUGUACGGAACAACUCAGGGAAACUUGAGCUAAUACCGUAUAAGUCCGAGAGGAGAAAGAUUUAUCGCAAUGAGACGGGCCCGCGUCGGACUAGGUAGUUGGUGAGGUAACGGCUCACCAAGCCAACGAUCCGUAGCNGAUCUGAGAGGAUGAUCAGCCACACUGGGACUGAGACACGGCCCAGACUCCUACGGGAGGCAGCAGUAGGGAAUCUUGGACAA
Molecule: ribosomal RNA, 317 nt
Filed under: uncultured bacterium
Lineage: Bacteria
Description: bacterial SSU rRNA
Rfam family: Bacterial small subunit ribosomal RNA
Source: RNAcentral